AAGUCGUAACAAGGUUUCCGUAGGUGAACCUGCGGAAGGAUCAUUCAUAAUAAGUGUUUUAUGGCACUUUUUAAAUCCAUAUCCACCUUGUGUGCAAUGUCAGUCGUUCUCUUCUAUGGGAACGACCAAACAUCAACCAACUCUUUAACUCUUUGUCUGAAAAAUAUUACGAAUAAAAUAAUUCAAAAUACAACUUUCAACAACGGAUCUCUUGGCUCUCGCAUCGAUGAAGAACGCAGCGAAAUGCGAUACGUAAUGUGAAUUGCAGAAUUCAGUGAAUCAUCGAAUCUUUGAACGCAUAUUGCGCUCUUUGGUAUUCCGAAGAGCAUGCUUGUUUGAGUAUCAGUAAACACCUCAAAUCCUUCAAUUUGUUUUGAAGGCUUUGGACUUGAGCAAUCCCAACACCAGUCUUUACGAUCGGUGGAGGGUUGCUUGAAAUGCAGGUGCAGCUGGACAUUCUCCUGAGCUAUAAGCAUAUUUAUUUAGUCCCGUCAAACGGAUUAUUACUUUUGCUGCAGCUAACAUAAAGGGAGUCUGACCAUAUUGGCUGACUGAUGCAGGAUUUCACAAGGGUCGGCAACGAUUCUUGUAAAACUCGAUCUCAAAUCAAGUAAGACUACCCGCUGAACUUAA
This 633-nucleotide ribosomal RNA is filed under the name uncultured fungus. RNAcentral's name for it is "eukaryotic LSU rRNA". The stretch from base 192 to 345 matches the Rfam family "5.8S ribosomal RNA". The record is from RNAcentral. Lineage: Eukaryota; Fungi.